CCUACGGGUGGCUGCAGUGGGGAAUAUUGGACAAUGGGGGGAACCCUGAUCCAGCGACGCCGCGUGAGUGAAGAAGUAUUUCGGUAUGUAACGCUCUAUCAGCAGGGAAGCAAAUGCCGGUACCUGACUAAGAAGCCCCGGCUAACUCCGUGCCAGCAGCCGCGGUAAUACGGGGGAUCCGAGCGUUAUCCGGAUUCAUUGGGUUUAAAGGGUGCGUAGGUUGGUUUAUAAGUUAGCCGUGAAAGAGCGAUGCUCAACAUCGGGGCGGCCGCUGAUACUGUAGGACUAGAGAGCGGAUGCAGCAGGCGGAAUGUGUAGUGUAGCGGUGAAAUGCAUAGAUAUUACGCAGAACACCGAUUGCGAAGGCAGCUUGCUAGGCCGGGUCUGACACUGAUGCACGAAAGCGUGGGGAUCGAACAGGAUUAGAUACCCGAGUAGUC
This 440-nucleotide ribosomal RNA is filed under the name uncultured bacterium. Its description in RNAcentral is "partial 16S ribosomal RNA". It matches the Rfam family "Bacterial small subunit ribosomal RNA", at positions 338 to 795 of the family's 1533-position model. The record is from RNAcentral.